Molecule: RNase P RNA, 374 nt
Filed under: Achromatium sp. WMS1
Lineage: Bacteria; Pseudomonadati; Pseudomonadota; Gammaproteobacteria; Thiotrichales; Thiotrichaceae
Description: Bacterial RNase P class A
Rfam family: Bacterial RNase P class A
About the family: Ribonuclease P (RNase P) is a ubiquitous endoribonuclease, found in archaea, bacteria and eukarya as well as chloroplasts and mitochondria.
Source: Rfam by way of RNAcentral
GGAGUUGAUUAAACGAUCGCUGCUACCUUAAAAAGGUGGGAGAGGAAAGUCCGGGCUCCACAGAGCAUGGUGCCAGAUAACACCUGGGAGGUGCAAACCUACGGAAAGUGCCGCAGAAAAUAUACCGCCGAUCAUAAGUAAUUAGCAUCGGUAAGGGUGAAAAGGCGUGGUAAGAGCACACCGCACUAAUGGUAACAUUAGUGGCAUGGUAAACCCCACCAGGAGCAAGACCAAAUAGAAGGACAAGCGUGCGGCUCGUACGGUCCUUGGGUAGGUCGCUUGAGCAAUGUGGUGACACACUGCCUAGAUGAAUGAUCGUUGUGGUUUAUGUUGUAUAAACCAUACAGAACCCGGCUUAUAAAUUGGCUCCCUAU